This is a long non-coding RNA of Nothoprocta perdicaria, 555 nucleotides long. RefSeq lists it as uncharacterized. NCBI's taxonomy places the organism in Eukaryota, Metazoa, Chordata, Aves, Tinamiformes, Tinamidae. The transcript has 2 exons. The record is from RefSeq and is a predicted model, not a curated record.
UUCAAGCAUAAUACUAAACCUGUUAGUUUUUGAUUUAAAAUUAAACAGAAGUAGAAGGAACUAAUUUGUUGAUAUUCCUUUAUCAUGCAAAGAGUUGUGAUAGGGCUGUGCCCCUCCCCAUCGGAGGAGUGAUAUUUGAAGGUAAAGAACCUCUUUCCUCACUUGGGAUUUUCUGCAUGGGUGUAUGGGAGGUACUUGGUUCAGGAAGUGACCUGGUCUUCCACUAACCUUAACUAAAACCUUGGACCAUGUAUUUUCAGAGGCAGGAGAUAAUGAAAACACUAUCUGCAGCAGAUCACAGUUAUUUUGCUCAAUGAAGAAGUUUGAGGCACUCGACUGUAGAGUGGAUUCUGUGUGACUUCAGUUUGGUAUGAGAUCUAAGGUACCAGACUGUGGGACACCAAUCUACUGCAAUUUCUACGUCGUCUUGCACUGCAAGAGGAAGAAAAUAAGACUGAGCAAUGUGUUUUAACCAGUAAGAGUGUGACUAGACUACUGCCUCACCUCUGCUGUUGCCAGUAUCAGAAAUCUGAGUCCAAAUAUCUAUAUUAUUUG